RNAcentral lists this unclassified non-coding RNA (886 nucleotides) under Athalia rosae (coleseed sawfly). RNAcentral's name for it is "misc RNA ENSAEAG00005010233.1". The record is from RNAcentral. Lineage: Eukaryota; Metazoa; Arthropoda; Insecta; Hymenoptera; Athaliidae.
CGGCGGAUGGUCGAUUUCCCCCUCCCCCCCUCCGCCCGGGCUUCUCAUUGUCAGUUUCCUCCUUCGUCUCCUUCGUCGUAGGAACAAAGCCCAGAAGGUGACUUAUCGCUGUGAACCGCGUCGGACUCCGGAGGCGCUACGGUCGUCCUGCUUGCGAGGUGACGGAACGGAAGCGGUGCUCUCGGCCUUACCGUGGCGACGACGACGACGAGCGACGACGACGAGCAGCAGCAGCAGCAACCCGCUUAUACCGACCACGAAGACCACGGCGUAGAUCGUUCGACGAGUACUCUCACCCCGGUGCGACGCGGAGCGGUCAGAGAUCCUCGUUUGUGUUCCAGGUGUCGCGCGAUUGGCGGCGAUAAAGAAAAUAAGUACGCCCCGUCGGAUCGAUCUCUAUCCGACGUCGGUCGAGAUCCGCUGAAAAAUUUUCGUUUUCGUUUGUUUUUUCUGUUUUCUCUUUUUUUUUCUUCUCUUUUCACUCCCUUCGCAUCGCGAUACGAAGGACACCGCGAUACCGCUUCUCGUCGAUGCGUCGUAUACCCUCCCGAUGGCGCGCGCGGGCCGUACUUAUUGAAAUCAAAAUCCCGACUCAAAAGGCGAUACUCUGAUUUCAACCUCAAUUGACGCCAUAUUCGAGUAAACUUAUCGCCGGUACUCUACUACCGGCGGACCGACGACGCGGCACCGAACGAACAGAAUAUCUCGAGUGCCCGACUCUAAUGUCGGUCCGACCUAUCCCAAUUAGAGCAAACGUCCUUGAGGUGACUAACACCGUCCAACGUGACGGAGAGAAGUUUGACUCCAUCGGAUAAAGGACGGAGCUACUGAGAAAGCCCGCGCGCGGUCGCCAGCCCGCAUCAGGUUCUCUCUGUACGAGGGUACG